RNAcentral lists this ribosomal RNA (379 nucleotides) under uncultured bacterium. RNAcentral's name for it is "bacterial SSU rRNA". It matches the Rfam family "Bacterial small subunit ribosomal RNA", at positions 521 to 898 of the family's 1533-position model. The record is from RNAcentral.
UAAUACGUAGGUGGCAAGCGUUGUCCGGAAUUAUUGGGCGUAAAGCGCGCGCAGGCGGCUUCUUAAGUCUGAUGUGAAAUCUUGCGGCUCAACCGCAAGCGGUCAUUGGAAACUGGGAGGCUUGAGUGCAGAAGAGGAGAGUGGAAUUCCACGUGUAGCGGUGAAAUGCGUAGAGAUGUGGAGGAACACCAGUGGCGAAGGCGGCUCUCUGGUCUGUAACUGACGCUGAGGCGCGAAAGCGUGGGGAGCAAACAGGAUUAGAUACCCUGGUAGUCCACGCCGUAAACGAUGAGUGCUAAGUGUUAGAGGGUUUCCGCCCUUUAGUGCUGUAGCUAACGCAUUAAGCACUCCGCCUGGGGAGUACGGCCGCAAGGCUGAA